This 449-nucleotide ribosomal RNA is filed under the name uncultured prokaryote. Its description in RNAcentral is "bacterial SSU rRNA". It matches the Rfam family "Bacterial small subunit ribosomal RNA", at positions 355 to 796 of the family's 1533-position model. The record is from RNAcentral.
UGGGGAAUCUUGGGCAAUGGGCGAGAGCCUGACCCAGCCACGCCGCGUGAGUGAUGAAGGCCUUCGGGUUGUAAAGCUCUGUGGGGAGGGACGAAAAAGGCGAGUCGAACAGGCUCGCAAAUUGACGGUACCUCCUUAGCAAGCACCGGCUAACUCUGUGCCAGCAGCCGCGGUAAGACAGAGGGUGCAAACGUUGCUCGGAAUUACUGGGCGUAAAGCGCGUGUAGGCGGGCCGCUAAGUCGGGUGUGAAAUCCCCGAGCUCAACUCGGGAACUGCAUUCGAAACUGGCGGUCUAGAGUGAUGGAGAGGGAAGCGGAAUUCCCGGUGUAGAGGUGAAAUUCGUAGAUAUCGGGAGGAACACCAGUGGCGAAGGCGGCUUCCUGGACAUUGACUGACGCUGAGACGCGAAAGCGUGGGGAGCAAACAGGAUUAGAUACCCCCGUAGUCC